AUUGAACGCUGGCGGCAUGCCUUACACAUGCAAGUCGAACGGCAGCACGGGAGCAAUCCUGGUGGCGAGUGGCGAACGGGUGAGUAAUAUAUCGGAACGUGCCCAGUCGUGGGGGAUAACGUAGCGAAAGCUACGCUAAUACCGCAUACGAUCUAUGGAUGAAAGCGGGGGAUCGCAAGACCUCGCGCGAUUGGAGCGGCCGAUAUCAGAUUAGGUAGUUGGUGAGGUAAAGGCUCACCAAGCCGACGAUCUGUAGCUGGUUUGAGAGGACGACCAGCCACACUGGGACUGAGACACGGCCCAGACUCCUACGGGAGGCAGCAGUGAGGAAUAUUGGACAAUGGGCGCAAGCCUGAUCCAGCCAUGCCGCGUGCAGGAUGACGGUCCUAUGGAUGUAAACUGCUUUAUACAGGAAGAAACACUACUUCGUGAGUAGCUUGACGGUACUGUAAGAAUAAGGAUCGG
This 465-nucleotide ribosomal RNA is filed under the name uncultured bacterium. RNAcentral's name for it is "bacterial SSU rRNA". It matches the Rfam family "Bacterial small subunit ribosomal RNA", at positions 30 to 496 of the family's 1533-position model. The record is from RNAcentral.